This 496-nucleotide ribosomal RNA is filed under the name uncultured bacterium. RNAcentral's name for it is "partial 16S ribosomal RNA". It matches the Rfam family "Bacterial small subunit ribosomal RNA", at positions 29 to 507 of the family's 1533-position model. The record is from RNAcentral.
AUGAACGCUGGCGGCGUGCCUAAUACAUGCAAGUCGAGCGAACAGAUGAGGAGCUUGCUCCUCUGACGUUAGCGGCGGACGGGUGAGUAACACGUGGAUAACCUACCUAUAAGACUGGGAUAACUUCGGGAAACCGGAGCUAAUACCGGAUAAUAUAUUGAACCGCAUGGUUCAAUAGUGAAAGACGGUUUUGCUGUCACUUAUAGAUGGAUCCGCGCCGCAUUAGCUAGUUGGUAAGGUAACGGCUUACCAAGGCGACGAUGCGUAGCCGACCUGAGAGGGUGAUCGGCCCCACUGGAACUGAGACACGGUCCAGACUCCUACGGGAGGCAGCAGUAGGGAAUCUUCCGCAAUGGGCGAAAGCCUGACGGAGCAACGCCGCGUGAGUGAUGAAGGUCUUCGGAUCGUAAAACUCUGUUAUUAGGGAAGAACAAAUGUGUAAGUAACUAUGCACGUCUUGACGGUACCUAAUCAGAAAGCCACGGCUAACUACGUG